RNAcentral lists this non-coding RNA (31 nucleotides) under Mus musculus (house mouse). Lineage: Eukaryota; Metazoa; Chordata; Mammalia; Rodentia; Muridae. The record is from RNAcentral.
ACACACAUUUUGACCCUCAGCAUUUGGCAGG